This 357-nucleotide ribosomal RNA is filed under the name uncultured bacterium. Its description in RNAcentral is "bacterial SSU rRNA". It matches the Rfam family "Bacterial small subunit ribosomal RNA", at positions 8 to 349 of the family's 1533-position model. The record is from RNAcentral.
AGAGUUUGAUCAUGGCUCAGGAUGAACGCUAGCUACAGGCUUAACACAUGCAAGUCGAGGGGAAACGGACAUCGAAAGCUUUGCUUUUGAUGGGCGUCGACCGGCGCACGGGUGAGUAACGCGUAUCCAACCUGCCCACCACUUGGGGAUAACCUUGGCGAAAGUAAGACUAAUACCCAAUGACGUCUCUAGAAGACAUCUGAAAGAGAUUUAAAGAUUUAUCGGUGAUGGAUGGGGAUGCGUCUGAUUAGCUUGUUGGGCGGGGUAACGGCCCACAAGGCGACGAUCAGUAGGGGUUCUGAGAGGACGGUCCCCCANAUUGGAACUGAGACACGGUCCAAACUCCGUACGGGAGCA